Molecule: long non-coding RNA, 567 nt
Filed under: Mytilus galloprovincialis (Mediterranean mussel)
Lineage: Eukaryota; Metazoa; Mollusca; Bivalvia; Mytilida; Mytilidae
Source: RNAcentral
CAAGUUCCUCUUUAAAACUAGCAAACAAAUUGGUGACGAAUCAAGCCUACUGACGAUCAAGUUAAACAAUUAUCUCAUUUCAUUUAUGCAAUUAAAAUUGUCUAUUUCAUUAUAGCUUAUUGUGUUUAUAAUAGUAGAAUUUUAGAUACUUUAAUUUUACACAACAAAUCUUAUUAUUGAGUUGGGCUGAACUUGGGCGCACAUUUUUCAUAAAUAUUUGUUCAGUUCAUCAAUGAGCAGUGACACAUGGACAAAAGGGGGGAAAGGCUUUAUAGUACAAAAAUGUAAAAAGGUAUUUAAUGAUUAAGCACAAUAUCACAAAAUCAAAAUUAAUCUUGUUUGUGAAAUAAGAAUCUCUUUACUUUCAUAAUGUUGAAAAAUGGUCUCUCACAGCUUUUGUUGUGUGUUCAGGAAUCUAGAAACAGGGUGCCAUGAUUACAUUAGGGGGGGACGUAUAAAAAAUUAAAGCAUCAACCAUAUAUAUAUAUAUGUAGUCCCAUGAAAAAGGGGGGGCAGACCUGCUAAAUUCUCCUUUAAUAAAAAAAAGACUGUGAAAUUUAUACAGAC